Molecule: transfer RNA, 69 nt
Filed under: Chrysops dissectus
Lineage: Eukaryota; Metazoa; Arthropoda; Insecta; Diptera; Tabanidae
Description: tRNA-Trp
Rfam family: tRNA
About the family: Transfer RNA (tRNA) molecules are approximately 80 nucleotides in length.
Source: RNAcentral
AAGGUUUUAAGUUAAAUAAACUAAUAGCCUUCAAAGCUAUUUAUAUAAGUAUAAAUCUUUUAAGCCUUA